RNAcentral lists this ribosomal RNA (490 nucleotides) under uncultured bacterium. RNAcentral's name for it is "partial 16S ribosomal RNA". It matches the Rfam family "Bacterial small subunit ribosomal RNA", at positions 30 to 507 of the family's 1533-position model. The record is from RNAcentral.
AUUGAACGCUGGCGGCAUGCCUUACACAUGCCAGUCGAACGGCAGCAUGAUCUAGCUUGCUAGAUUGAUGGCGAGUGGCGAACGGGUGAGUAAUACAUCGGAACGUGCCCUGUAGUGGGGGAUAACUAGUCGAAAGAUUAGCUAAUACCGCAUACGACCUGAGGGUGAAAGUGGGGGACCGCAAGGCCUCAUGCUAUAGGAGCGGCCGAUGUCUGAUUAGCUAGUUGGUGAGGUAAAGGCUCACCAAGGCGACGAUCAGUAGCUGGUCUGAGAGGACGAUCAGCCACACUGGGACUGAGACACGGCCCAGACUCCUACGGGAGGCAGCAGUGGGGAAUUUUGGACAAUGGGCGAAAGCCUGAUCCAGCAAUGCCGCGUGUGUGAAGAAGGCCUUUGGGUUGUAAAGCACUUUUGUCCGGAAAGAAAUGGCUCUGGUUAAUACCUGGGGUCGAUGACGGUACCGGAAGAAUAAGGACCGGCUAACUACGUG